RNAcentral lists this ribosomal RNA (922 nucleotides) under Neurospora tetraspora. RNAcentral describes it as "mitochondrial SSU rRNA". It matches the Rfam family "Bacterial small subunit ribosomal RNA", at positions 1 to 1171 of the family's 1533-position model. Lineage: Eukaryota; Fungi; Ascomycota; Sordariomycetes; Sordariales; Sordariaceae. The record is from RNAcentral.
UUGGAGGAUGAGGGGUCAACUUUGCAAAUGGAUGAGUGAUCGUUAGAAGAUCCUUAGUCCCCUGGUCUUCUUGACACAUGAGGUAUAUACUUCUAGUCCAUAUUGGGGGGAGACUCCACGUCGAUUUAUCGAGUAAAAUUCUGUAUACAUAUUGAUAAUGACAAUAUGUACAUUUGUCUUGACUAAUUACGUGCCAGCAGUCGCGGCAAUACGUAAGAGACUAGUGUUAAUCAUCAUAAAUAGGUUUAAAGGGUACUCAGACGGAAAAAUUCGCCCAAAUAUAGGGGACAAUUUUUCUAGAGUUUUAUGUAAGAAGGUCGUACUCUAGAGUGGAGAGAUAAAAUUCUGUGAUACCUAGGGGACGGGUAAAGGCGAAGGCAAUCUUUUAUGUAAAAACUGACGUCGAAGGACGAAGGCAAAGGGAACAAAAAGGAUUAGAUACCCCAGUAGUCUUUGCAGACAAUUAUGAAUGCCAUAGGUUAGAUUUUUAAUUUAGUCUAUAAAUGAAAGUGUAAGCAUUUCACCUCAAGAGUAAGGCGGCAACGCAGGAACUGAAAUCACUAGACCGUUUCUGACACCAGCAAUGAAGUAUGUUAUUUAAUUCGGUGACCCACGAAAAACCUUACCACAAUUUGAAUAUUAAUAAUAAUGAUAUUAUUUUUUAUGCUUGAUAUGGCAAGCACUCAAUUUUCCCCCUCCCCGCAGGUUUGCGGCGGGGGGGGAGAAAAAAGAAAAAUAAUGGAUAAUAUAGUAAAUACCAUAUUCCAACUAUAUUUAAUUAUUAAUACAAGUGUUGCACGGCUGUCUUCAGUUGAUGUUGCGAAACUGUGGUUCGUUCCAUGGAAUUAACGUAAACCCUUGCUUUAUUUGUAAAUAUUAUAAAGCAGUUCACCUUUAUAUAGGAAAUGAUAAAAGGGAUCAA